Herpailurus yagouaroundi (jaguarundi) is the source of this 2072-nucleotide long non-coding RNA. RefSeq lists it as uncharacterized. The transcript is spliced from 5 exons. The record is from RefSeq and is a predicted model, not a curated record. NCBI's taxonomy places the organism in Eukaryota, Metazoa, Chordata, Mammalia, Carnivora, Felidae.
GCAUGGCUGCAAAAGACAGGAGUUAGUUCGAGAGGCUGCUUGUGCACAUGGCCUUCUCCCCACCCCCGCUGACCUGGAGGUGGGCCGGCCCGUCUUGAAAGUGACUGACUCCACGUGGUGGUGGACGUGAAGCAGGAAAAAGGGACAGAUGACUCUGGUGCGCCCCAGAGGGCUCCCAGGCAUGUCCCAUGUUACUAUUUCAGACCAGUGAUUUCAAACCCGCUGCUCAUCAGAAUCAUCCCAGAAAGUGAUGAAAAACUAGAUGUCUAGGGAUAUGGAUACCUUAGGGAAUUUAUGUAAAGCAAAAUAAAACAGAGCAGAAAUGAGCGGACAGCCCCCCCUGCUGCCCCCCGCCCCGCCCCCAGUUCAACAAAUGAGUUCUCUAAUAACACCGUUCCCUUUGUUAAUACGAAAUGCUGGUUUAUAUUUAUUGACAACCCUUUUAAUCAGAGGAUCAGACGUCUGGCUGUUCCUCAGCCAUCUGAAAUCGAGCUGCCAAGACGCUGGACACAGGUGACAAAGGAAAGGCAGAGAGCCGCCACAAGCCCCUGACACUUGGCCCUAGGGGUGUGUGAAGCAGAGCUCAGGGCUCCCCCUGGGGGCGGGCUGAGAGGGGCACGUGGCGUGCAGUCGUUGGUUCGCCAGUGUUUUUGGAGAUGCUGCAUUUGGAGGUGGUACCUGGAGGAAGACGGAUGAGCUGAGGGGUGGAGGGGGUGGCAGAAUUAGGAAGUGACAGAGGGCAGGUGAAGAAGACAGACUAAGGUAGGGUAUGGGUGUAAGCGUUAUGAAUCCCAGUUCUCCAGGAUGGUCUUGGGUAGGAGCAGACAGCCCCGUUCACCCCACAGCCACACCUUGUACCAGGGCGCUGCGCAGAAAUGAUUGGUAACCCUGCUGCCUGCAAAUAAAAGAAGGGACCCUUUUCUUCAAGACACUUGCUUGUGCCCUGCAAGUGCAGGCACAGGAAACUGGGGAACCAACUGUAAACAUCCAAGCCGUGUUCAGCCCACUCUUCCAGGAUGCGAAUGUGCCCGCGAGGACCACUCCGCGCCACCAGGGGACGUCGGAGACUUCCACGUCUCCUCGCGCAAAGGUCUCCUGUAUGGCUGGUCGCAGGGCAGGAAGACCAUGGGCUUCUCCCCAGUUCCCUGACUCCCUGGACAAACGAGCCUUCGGGGGGGAAAUUGAGGCUCUGUGAUACAUUGGACAGACCAGCACAGAGCAAAUGACUCACUUGCUAAAGGUUAUGCCCGUGCACCAAGAAGCCCGGGAACAGAGUCCAGAGACUCGAGCGUCAUGUGUUGGGGCCUGUUCUGUCCACGUCUUUUGCCGAGGGACACAUCUGGGCUGCGGACCAAAGUUGUUAAAAUGUGGAGCUCAGAUACCCUAACUGUGCACGAGCCCACUGUGUGCUCAUCGGCGUGCUUUGGGCUUUCCACACGCACCUUGUGAGACUGGUUAGCUCCCCUCAGCCCCCCAAGUGGAGCUGUGGCAGGCCCUGAGGGCGCAGGGAGUUGGGCCAGGCGUGUCCGGCUUCUAGGCUGGCCUCCCGAACCACAGAUUUCUAAUUGCAUUUGAGAAAGAAUAAUGAGCAUCAAAUAAAUACAGAGCAACUUACCCCUGCUCCACCUGUGGGACACCGCCGCCUGAGCAUCAUAACACAACAGCAGAAGCAGCAGCGUGUUCCAACACAUCUUUUGCUCCAAAAAGGUGACACUUGUCCUCGAACCCAAUGGGACCUCAGGAGCUACAGGUAUUCAGCAUGACCUCAGGCAAGCGAGUCUGAAGCAGCCAGACAUGAAGCAUUCCCAGUGAGGUUUAUCUCUGACACUGUUCCAUGCCGAACACAGAGCUACAUCAUUCUAUGUGCUUCUGGUGGGGACCCCCAUAAAUCCUCAUCUGCAGGAAAGGAAUUCUGUCGCACUUCAGGUGACCAGCCUAGGACCGGGUGGUGGCCAGAGCCAUCUGGGGGAGAGGGUACAGGAGACAGGGGUGAGAAGGGAGAGAUGAUGUGGUUGGUCGCCAGAUUUAGCACAUCCGAAAAAAAUGAAUGAUUUUUUAGUUUAAAUAUGUUC